RNAcentral lists this ribosomal RNA (253 nucleotides) under uncultured bacterium. RNAcentral's name for it is "partial 16S ribosomal RNA". It matches the Rfam family "Bacterial small subunit ribosomal RNA", at positions 524 to 776 of the family's 1533-position model. The record is from RNAcentral.
UACAGAGGGUGCAAGCGUUGUUCGGAAUUAUUGGGCGUAAAGCGCGUGUAGGCGGCUUGGCAAGUCGGGUGUGAAAGCCCUCAGCUCAACUGAGGAAGUGCGCCCGAAACUGCUUUGCUUGAGUGCUGGAGAGGGUCGCGGAAUUCCCCAAGUAGAGGUGAAAUUCGUAGAUAUGGGGAGGAACACCGGUGGCGAAGGCGGCGACCUGGACAGUAACUGACGCUGAGACGCGAAAGCGUGGGGAGCAAACAGG